UGCAGUCGAGCGGUAGAGAGAAGCUUGCUUCUCUUGAGAGCGGCGGACGGGUGAGUAAUGCCUAGGAAUCUGCCUGGUAGUGGGGGAUAACGUUCGGAAACGAACGCUAAUACCGCAUACGUCCUACGGGAGAAAGCAGGGGACCUUCGGGCCUUGCGCUAUCAGAUGAGCCUAGGUCGGAUUAGCUAGUUGGUGAGGUAAUGGCUCACCAAGGCGACGAUCCGUAACUGGUCUGAGAGGAUGAUCAGUCACACUGGAACUGAGACACGGUCCAGACUCCUACGGGAGGCAGCAGUGGGGAAUAUUGGACAAUGGGCGAAAGCCUGAUCCAGCCAUGCCGCGUGUGUGAAGAAGGUCUUCGGAUUGUAAAGCACUUUAAGUUGGGAGGAAGGGCAUUAACCUAAUACGUUAGUGUUUUGACGUUACCGACAGAAUAAGCACCGGCUAACUCUGUGCCAGCAGCCGCGGUAAUACAGAGGGUGCAAGCGUUAAUCGGAAUUACUGGGCGUAAAGCGCGCGUAGGUGGUUUGUUAAGUUGGAUGUGAAAUCCCCGGGCUCAACCUGGGAACUGCAUUCAAAACUGACUGACUAGAGUAUGGUAGAGGGUGGUGGAAUUUCC
Molecule: ribosomal RNA, 619 nt
Filed under: Pseudomonas sp.
Lineage: Bacteria; Pseudomonadati; Pseudomonadota; Gammaproteobacteria; Pseudomonadales; Pseudomonadaceae
Description: bacterial SSU rRNA
Rfam family: Bacterial small subunit ribosomal RNA
Source: RNAcentral